UGUUGUGCAAUUCAGAUCGUGUGGAGAAGGGAGGAAGAGAGGGGAGGUGGUUGAAAGGUGCUUGCUUGAGAUGGAAGGUGGACACCUGUUGCAAACUGCAAGAUGUCAUACUGUCAUAGUGUCAUGGAUGCUAGUGCUUGAGAUAUCUAACCAGGUCAGUGACAAACAGGGUAGGCAACAACCGGCCAACAAGUUCUGAAACUAACUACUUCUACAUGACACCACCAACCAUGGUAUGUAUGUAAGAAUCUAUCCUUGCAACAACAAAAACAGCUAUUUUCCCAAUCUGACAAAGGCUGGUUCAGAUCUGCAAAAAGUCUGAAUAUUUUCUUCUAUGAAUGCACAAGAAGACUCUGGAUAUCGAAAUGUUUCUGGGGAUCAGUCCAUUGUGAUUGUUUAAUUUGAGGUUGAUGUGAUGGAAAAGGACUGAAAUUUGGAUUCAAACUUUGGAUCUAAACUCAGCCUUAGUUAAAGAAGAAUGCCUUUUCUGGAUCUACAUCUCCUCUACCUGUGUUUCACAAGUGGACAGGAGGAUUACUGUAGUUGUUGUUCAAGCCUAAGCAUUUAGCUCCCUGUGACCUGAGCUGAUUAGUCCAAACUAAGUCUGGUUAGAUUUGUUUGUGCCUUUUCCAGUUGCCUCCAUGUGUUUUUUUAUACUACCAAUGAUAUUCUGACUUUUCUAA
This is a non-coding RNA of Oryza sativa Japonica Group (Japanese rice), 683 nucleotides long. The record is from RefSeq and is a predicted model, not a curated record. NCBI's taxonomy places the organism in Eukaryota, Viridiplantae, Streptophyta, Magnoliopsida, Poales, Poaceae.